RNAcentral lists this ribosomal RNA (481 nucleotides) under uncultured bacterium. RNAcentral describes it as "partial 16S ribosomal RNA". It matches the Rfam family "Bacterial small subunit ribosomal RNA", at positions 28 to 507 of the family's 1533-position model. The record is from RNAcentral.
GAUGAACGCUGGCGGCGUGCUUAACACAUGCAAGUCGAACGAAGCAUUUGCGACAGAUUUUUUCGGAAUGAAGUUGCUUAUGACUGAGUGGCGGACGGGUGAGUAACGCGUGGGUAACCUGCCUUGUACUGGGGGAUAGCAGCUGGAAACGGCUGGUAAUACCGCAUAAGCGCACAAUGUUGCAUGACAUGGUGUGAAAAACUCCGGUGGUAUAAGAUGGACCCGCGUCUGAUUAGCUAGUUGGUGAGGUAACAGCCCACCAAGGCGACGAUCAGUAGCCGACCUGAGAGGGUGACCGGCCACAUUGGGACUGAGACACGGCCCAGACUCCUACGGGAGGCAGCAGUGGGGAAUAUUGCACAAUGGAGGAAACUCUGAUGCAGCGACGCCGCGUGAGUGAAGAAGUAAUUCGUUAUGUAAAGCUCUAUCAGCAGGGAAGAUAGUGACGGUACCUGACUAAGAAGCUCCGGCUAAAUACGUG